GAUAUAAGUUUCAUAUCUUCUACUUUGCAUUACUUUUUUUCUGUUUCUUGUCAACUUUUCUUUUUUUUCCUUUUUGCCUGUUGGGUGGCCAAAUGGGCCUGGUUAAGAAUUAAUUUUCAAAAUUUGAAGUGAUAUGUCGUGUUUUUAUUGUAAUCAGUAAGUUCUGACUGGUCACCUAAUAUUUUAUUUUAUGGUUCCUUGCUUUUUUCUGUGUGAAGCCAAAUGCUGCGGUUGUGGAUGGAGUU
RNAcentral lists this unclassified non-coding RNA (245 nucleotides) under Hevea brasiliensis (rubber tree). The record is from RNAcentral. Lineage: Eukaryota; Viridiplantae; Streptophyta; Magnoliopsida; Malpighiales; Euphorbiaceae.